RNAcentral lists this ribosomal RNA (211 nucleotides) under uncultured bacterium. RNAcentral's name for it is "partial 16S ribosomal RNA". It matches the Rfam family "Bacterial small subunit ribosomal RNA", at positions 15 to 220 of the family's 1533-position model. The record is from RNAcentral.
GAUCAUGGCUCAGGACGAACGCUGGCGGCGCGCCUAACACAUGCAAGUCGAACGAGAGAGAAGGAGCUUGCUUCUUCGAUCGAGUGGCGAACGGGUGAGUAACGCGUGAGGAACCUGCCUCAAAGAGGGGGACAACAGUUGGAAACGACUGCUAAUACCGCAUAAGCCCACGGGUCGGCAUCGAUCUGAGGGAAAAGGAAGGCGAUCGCUU